AAUUCUCAACCUUACCCGGUCUGUCCUUUUUUCAGGUCGGGCUAGGCUUGGAUGUGGGGGCUUGCAGGUCCGCCCUUGGGUGGUCUGCUCCUCUGAAAUGCAUUAGUGGGUUUGUGCCCCUCAUCUAUUGGUGUGAUAAUUAUCUACGCCGCUGGGUGAUGCAUCUAAACGAAACCUGCUCAUAACCGUCCGUCUCGGACAACUUUGAUCA
Molecule: unclassified non-coding RNA, 211 nt
Filed under: Coprinopsis vermiculifer
Lineage: Eukaryota; Fungi; Basidiomycota; Agaricomycetes; Agaricales; Psathyrellaceae
Description: sequence contains ITS2
Source: RNAcentral